This 283-nucleotide long non-coding RNA is filed under the name Cottoperca gobio. RNAcentral's name for it is "lncRNA (ENSCGOG00000005899.1)". Lineage: Eukaryota; Metazoa; Chordata; Actinopteri; Perciformes; Bovichtidae. The record is from RNAcentral.
AACUUUCAUUUGCACACAUGUAUCUUCGUGUCCAUCACAAACGAGAUCUCCUCAGCAGAUGAGCGUGCCUCCUGGUCAGGGCGAGCAGAUUUGGAACUGAAGGUGUGCUGUUGUCGCCAGUGAACUGCCAUUUGGAGAAGAAGACAAGAAAGGAAGAACCCCCCCCCCCCCCCCCCACUCAACUGAAGAUAUUGUAAGUGCUCAUUGAAUCUAUUAUGUAACCCAUUUACAGCAUGCUACACAAUCCUAAGUUCCAAAUCCCCCCCCCCCCCCCCAAUUGUGU